UACGAAGGGGGCUAGCGUUGUUCGGAAUUACUGGGCGUAAAGGGUGCGUAGGCGGGUCUUUAAGUCAGAGGUGAAAUCCUGGAGCUCAACUCCAGAACUGCCUUUGAUACUGAGGAUCUUGAGUUCGGGAGAGGUGAGUGGAACUGCGAGUGUAGAGGUGAAAUUCGUAGAUAUUCGCAAGAACACCAGUGGCGAAGGCGGCUCACUGGCCCGAUACUGACGCUGAGGCACGAAAGCGUGGGGAGCAAACAGG
This 253-nucleotide ribosomal RNA is filed under the name uncultured bacterium. RNAcentral's name for it is "partial 16S ribosomal RNA". It matches the Rfam family "Bacterial small subunit ribosomal RNA", at positions 524 to 776 of the family's 1533-position model. The record is from RNAcentral.